ACGAACGCUGGCGGCGUGCUUAACACAUGCAAGUCGAGCGGUAAGGCCCUUUCGGGGUACGACGAGCGGCGAACGGGUGAGUAACACGUGGGUGACCUGCCCUCAGCUCUGGGAUAAGCCUGGGAAACCGGGUCUAAUACCGGAUAUGACUCCAUGACGCAUGUUGUGGGGUGGAAAGCCUUGUGCGGCUGAGGAUGGGCCCGCGGCCUAUCAGCUUGUUGGUGGGGUGAUGGCCUACCAAGGCGACGACGGGUAGCCGGCCUGAGAGGGCGACCGGCCACACUGGGACUGAGACACGGCCCAGACUCCUACGGGAGCAGCAGUGGGAAUC
This 331-nucleotide ribosomal RNA is filed under the name uncultured bacterium. RNAcentral describes it as "bacterial SSU rRNA". It matches the Rfam family "Bacterial small subunit ribosomal RNA", at positions 29 to 363 of the family's 1533-position model. The record is from RNAcentral.